Molecule: ribosomal RNA, 405 nt
Filed under: uncultured bacterium
Lineage: Bacteria
Description: bacterial SSU rRNA
Rfam family: Bacterial small subunit ribosomal RNA
Source: RNAcentral
GGGGAAUAUUGCGCAAUGGGCGAAAGCCUGACGCAGCGACGCCGCGUGAGGGAUGACGGCCUUCGGGUUGUAAACCUCUUUCAGCAGGGACGAAGCGCAAGUGACGGUACCUGCAGAAGAAGCACCGGCCAACUACGUGCCAGCAGCCGCGGUAAUACGUAGGGUGCAAGCGUUGUCCGGAAUUAUUGGGCGUAAAGAGCUCGUAGGCGGCUUGUCACGUCGACUGUGAAAACCCGGGGCUCAACUCCGGGCCUGCAGUCGAUACGGGCUGGCUUGAGUGCGGUAGGGGAGACUGGAAUUCCUGGUGUAGCGGUGAAAUGCGCAGAUAUCAGGAGGAACACCGGUGGCGAAGGCGGCAUCCUGGACCGAUACUGACGCUGAUGAGCGAAAGCCAGGGGAGCAAAC